This 621-nucleotide ribosomal RNA is filed under the name uncultured bacterium. RNAcentral describes it as "bacterial SSU rRNA". It matches the Rfam family "Bacterial small subunit ribosomal RNA", at positions 9 to 678 of the family's 1533-position model. The record is from RNAcentral.
GAGUUUGAUCAUGGCUCAGGACGAACGCUGGCGGCAGGCUUAACACAUGCAAGUCGAGCGCCCCGCAAGGGGAGCGGCAGACGGGUGAGUAACGCGUGGGAACGUGCCUUUUGGUUCGGAACAACUGAGGGAAACUUCAGCUAAUACCGGAUAAGCCCCGAGGGGGAAAGAUUUAUCGCCAAAAGAUCGGCCCGCGUCAGAUUAGGUAGUUGGUGGGGUAAUGGCCUACCAAGCCUACGAUCUGUAGGUGGACUGAGAGGAUGAUCACCCACACUGGGACUGAGACACGGCCCAGACUCCUACGGGAGGCAGCAGUGGGGAAUAUUGGACAAUGGGCGAAAGCCUGAUCCAGCCAUGCCGCGUGGAUGAAGAAGGCCCUAGGGUUGUAAAGUCCUUUCGGUGGUGAAGAUAAUGACGGUAACCACAGAAGAAGCCCCGGCUAAUUUCGUGCCAGCAGCCGCGGUAAUACGAAAGGGGCUAGCGUUGUUCGGAAUUACUGGGCGUAAAGCGCACGUGGGCGGCCUUGUAAGUUGGGGGUGAAAUCCCAGGGCUCAACCCUGGAACUGCCUUCAAGACUGCAAAGCUAGAGGAUGCGAGAGGUUGGCGGAAUUCCGAGUGUAG